Molecule: ribosomal RNA, 253 nt
Filed under: uncultured bacterium
Lineage: Bacteria
Description: partial 16S ribosomal RNA
Rfam family: Bacterial small subunit ribosomal RNA
Source: RNAcentral
UACGAAGGGGGCUAGCGUUGCUCGGAAUUACUGGGCGUAAAGGGCGCGUAGGCGGGUCGUUUAGUUAGAGGUGAAAGCCCAGGGCUCAACCCUGGAAUUGCCUUUAAUACUGGCGGCCUUGAGUAUGGCAGAGGUGUGUGGAACUCCGAGUGUAGAGGUGAAAUUCGUAGAUAUUCGGAAGAACACCAGUGGCGAAGGCGACACGCUGGGCCAUUACUGACGCUGAGGCGCGAAAGCGUGGGGAGCAAACAGG